GCACUCAAAGGUGGGGCAUCAAACAAGACCGCCGCGGACAACGCGGAGGAAGGCGGGGACGACGUCAAGUCAUCAUGCCCCUUAUGACCUGGGUUACACACGUACUACAAUGGGUGUCAACAAAGAGAAGCGAAACCGCGAGGAAGAGCAAACCUCAAAAACACACCCCCAGUUCAGAUCGCAGGCUGCAACCCGCCUGCGUGAAGCAGGAAUCGCUAGUAAUCGCGGGUCAGUAUACCGCGGUGAAUACGUUCCCGGGCCUUGUACACACCGCCCGUCACACUAUGAGAGUCAGAAACACCCGAAGCCGGUGAGGUAACCGCAAGGAGCCAGCCGUCGAAGGCGGAGCUGAUGAUUGGAGUGAAGUCGUAACAAGGUAGCCG
This 383-nucleotide ribosomal RNA is filed under the name uncultured bacterium. Its description in RNAcentral is "bacterial SSU rRNA". It matches the Rfam family "Bacterial small subunit ribosomal RNA", at positions 1121 to 1502 of the family's 1533-position model. The record is from RNAcentral.